GGGAUGGGAACAGAGGGGGAAUGAAAGUCAGCCGAGGCAAGGAUGCAGCUAGAAAGCAGAGGGGGAAGAAUGAUUCCAUAGGUGGAAAGGAAGGAGACAGGAUCAGAAAGAAAUAGCAGCUGCAGGGUGUGAAGAUAUGGAUCAAGAUUGUGAUUCUCAGCCAGAUUAUAGAAAGCAAGACAUACGUGAAUAUUAAGAUGGUGCUGAAGACAUUUACUGUGCACUAACAGAAUACUUCAGCUCUGGCUCCUACUUCACAGCCCCCGCAUAUGUACUUUGCAGAGAAGGUGCAGAUAUUAUGGCUGGACAGCUUUCAUUUAAAUCAGUUAUAUCUGGUGUAUUGUGUGGCAGAUGUUUGUCUGUUUGUAGUCGGAAGUCCCAUAAUAUUUUUGCAUCUUCAUUUUCGACAACUUUUUCAAUUUUAUGGUCCCACCAAUCUUUGGCUACAGGAAGAAAAUGCAGCCUGCAGCACAGAGGGAUAUGAAACAACUUCCCAUUUCUUUUCCUUCGUUAGUCUGCUUCAUUGGGACCCAAUAGAGACUGUGCUUCUUGUCAGGUUUUGCUCCACAGGGAAGAGAGAGAAGAAGAAAUUGAAAGAAGCAAGAAAAAGAGGAUGCAGGGAAAAGCUGUCACUUCAUACCCCAAGUUUUAUCAUUGCAAACAAAGAAGAGAAAAAUGUCUACUACAUAUAUUACACAUCGCAGUAGUGCUGAGAAAAUGGUGCCAGUAUCAAUUAGUGUGACUCCUGAGUCUGUUCACUUGUUAUUGAAACCAUGGACCCAGGUACAGCACUAAUGGAAGGGCAUACCAAGUCCCUCUACACAUCCUCACUCUCCACACAUACACAUAAUACACUCUUAAACCACACACCCUGCUCUACACACACACACACACACACACACACACACACACACACACACACUGCUGUCUCCCCAGGAUUACAAACAAUGAAUGCCCAGAAUUCUCAGUCAUAAGGCAUCAUUUGUUUUUUUCCAGGCAAACACUGCUUUGUGUGGUUUAAGGGUGUGGUGGUGCAGAGAUGGGGAUCGCUGGUUGCAUUCCCAUGGCACUAGAUCUGAGUAUAGUGGCUGACAUUCUCAUGAAUAAAGCAGCAGUGCCUCUAAUGGACUGCGGGCACUUCACAAGUGCUGCUGUCUUCCAGAUGAAGGCAGUGUAUGUGAAUGAUUGCCACCAGACCCCAAAGAAGAGAGGACACACGUUAAUGGUUUAAACUAGGACCACACUUUAUUAGCUGAACACAGGCGCACAUCUAGGUAACUUUGGAGCCCGGACCUGAAGGGCUUUGGACACACACACCCCACCGGCAUGAGGGCUGGAGGGGAGUUGGAGGGGGGGAGAUAACUCUUUUAAAAAACAAAACAAAAAAACCUUUUCCCUCAACCAUCGCUGUGCAGCAAGGAUGGGAGCAGCCAGUGGGUUGUGCAGGCACUCGAUGGGAGACCAAGGUAGGGGAGGUGGCAGCAAGAGCUCCUUCCCUGAGCCCACCUGCCUUCCAAAUUACAGAUCGGGCCAUUUUCAGGCCAUUUUGAGAGCCCCUAAAUCGGGCAAAAAUCCAGCAGCAAGUUGGAUGGACUCCAUUAUGACAGCAAUGAAUGCACUAAUGAGAGACCUAAUGAGAGGCCAAGUCCAUGGCAGGUCAUCUUGGAGAGAAUCUAUCUGUGUGGUUGCUAAGAAUUGACACGGACUUGAGGGCACUUAAUAAUCAAUCAAUCAAUCAAUCAAUGCAAUGCAAUGAAAUGAAAUGAAGAUGCAGGGACCUUCACAAACUUUGCAGACUCCCUCUCUCUCACACCCAGCUAGUUCAAAAUUUUGUUGCCAAAUGUCUUAUAGCUGUUUCCCUCAUAAACUCAUAGCAAUCUUAUGUUUGUUUAACUAAGCUUUAUUCAGAAAUGUAUCUAUCCCCUUCCUUUUCUUUUCUGACUUCCCCCAUCCUCUACAGACACAACUGUAUCCCCAGCUCAGCAUCCCUCCAGUACCUGUUGCUGUUCUCUUAUCUUAUGUUUCUUUUUAAGAAUGUGAGCCCUUUGGGGACAGAGAUCCUGUCUGUGUCUGUGUCUGUGUCUGUGUUGCUUUGGGGAUUUUUGUUUAAAAGUGGUAUAUAAAUAUUUGUAGUAAUAGUCGGAUCCCCACAAGGACAAACUCCUAAUUGACAAAAUAUAAAAGCUUGCUAGACAGAAUACAA
Molecule: long non-coding RNA, 2203 nt
Organism: Hemicordylus capensis (graceful crag lizard)
Lineage: Eukaryota; Metazoa; Chordata; Lepidosauria; Squamata; Cordylidae
Exons: 6
Source: RefSeq, a predicted model, not a curated record